Pelusios castaneus (West African mud turtle) is the source of this 132-nucleotide small nucleolar RNA. Lineage: Eukaryota; Metazoa; Chordata; Testudines; Pelomedusidae. The record is from Ensembl.
CCCUCCCACAAAGGCGUGCCUGGAUCCCCUGUGUUCAGGCACGUAAGAACUGGAGGCAGAUUAACGGGAAUGAAGAGUUAUGGUUGGGGCUGCUGGAAUUUCAGCUGGCCACACAUCUCUUUUCCGACACUC